CCUACGGGGAGCAGCAGUGGGGAAUAUUGGACAAUGGGCGAAAGCCUGAUCCAGCCAUGCCGCGUGUGUGAAGAAGGCCUUCGGGUUGUAAAGCACUUUCAGUGGGGAAGAAAGCCUUGGGGCUAAUACCCUCGAGGAAGGACAUCACCCACAGAAGAAGCACCGGCUAACUCCGUGCCAGCAGCCGCGGUAAUACGGAGGGUGCGAGCGUUAAUCGGAAUUACUGGGCGUAAAGCGCGCGUAGGCGGUCUGAUAAGCCGGUUGUGAAAGCCCCGGGCUCAACCUGGGAACGGCAUCCGGAACUGUCAGGCUAGAGUGCAGGAGAGGAAGGUAGAAUUCCCGGUGUAGCGGUGAAAUGCGUAGAGCUCGGGAGGAAUACCAGUGGCGAAGGCGGCCUUCUGGACUGACACUGACGCUGAGGUGCGAAAGCGUGGGUAGCAAACAGGAUUAGAUACCCUGGUAGUC
Molecule: ribosomal RNA, 465 nt
Filed under: Vreelandella stevensii
Lineage: Bacteria; Pseudomonadati; Pseudomonadota; Gammaproteobacteria; Oceanospirillales; Halomonadaceae
Description: partial 16S ribosomal RNA
Rfam family: Bacterial small subunit ribosomal RNA
Source: RNAcentral